This is a long non-coding RNA of Mesocricetus auratus (golden hamster), 496 nucleotides long. RefSeq lists it as uncharacterized. Lineage: Eukaryota; Metazoa; Chordata; Mammalia; Rodentia; Cricetidae. The transcript is spliced from 2 exons. The record is from RefSeq and is a predicted model, not a curated record.
GCAGCUAGCUGAGAACUGCUUGGCUCCUCUAGGUUUGGUAUCUUUUCCUGCCUCCAAGUUCCUGCCUCGGCUUCCCCAGAUGAUGGAGUGCUGUAAGCUGUAAGCUAAGCUCAUCUUUUGGUCAGUGUUUAAUCAACAAACAACAGAAAACGAAGGCAGCUGCUGAGGAAGAAGGGAUGCCCAUCUGUCAUACUGAAUCCUCACUUCACCUAGAGAAAAAGCCAGGCUCAGGGGGAUGUGCAAGUGUUCUCAAGAGCACAUCCAGGGCGGCUGGAUGUUUCCGCAGUUAAAGGCAUUCACUGGCUGCUCUUCCAGAGGACCCAGGCUUCAUCUCCAACACCCACAUGGCAGCUCAAGACCUUCUGCAGCUGCAGUCUCAGGACGCUGACAUCUUGUGUCUCCGUGGGUACCAGGCACACCUUGGUACAAGGCAUACUUGCAAACAAAACACUGCUACAAAACUUAAAAACAACAAAUAAACAGCCAGUUCAGCUCA